Molecule: ribosomal RNA, 253 nt
Filed under: uncultured bacterium
Lineage: Bacteria
Description: partial 16S ribosomal RNA
Rfam family: Bacterial small subunit ribosomal RNA
Source: RNAcentral
UACAGAGGUCUCAAGCGUUGUUCGGAUUCAUUGGGCGUAAAGGGUGUGUAGGUGGCACCGUAAGUCGGGUGUGAAAUUUCGGAGCUUAACUCCGAAACUGCAUUCGAUACUGCGGUGCUUGAGGACUGGAGAGGAGACUGGAAUUCAUGGUGUAGCAGUGAAAUGCGUAGAGAUCAUGAGGAAGACCAGUGGCGAAGGCGGGUCUCUGGACAGUUCCUGACACUGAGACACGAAGGCCAGGGGAGCAAACGGG